AAAGACCAAGGGUUCCUGCGCAACGUUAAUCGACGCAGGGUUAGUCGGUUCCUAAGGCGAGGCUGAAAAGCGUAGUCGAUGGGAAACAGGUUAAUAUUCCUGUACUUCUGGUUACUGCGAUGGAGGGACGGAGAAGGCUAGGCCAGCUUGGCGUUGGUUGUCCAAGUUUAAGGUGGUAGGCUGAAAUCUUAGGUAAAUCCGGGGUUUCAAGGCCGAGAGCUGAUGACGAGUCGUCUUUUAGAUGACGAAGUGGUUGAUGCCAUGCUUCCAAGAAAAGCUUCUAAGCUUCAGGUAACCAGGAACCGUACCCCAAACCGACACAGGUGGUCGGGUAGAGAAUACCAAGGCGCUUGAGAGAACUCGGGUGAAGGAACUAGGCAAAAUGGCACCGUAACUUCGGGAGAAGGUGCGCCGGCUAGGGUGAAGGAUUUACUCCGUAAGCUCUGGCUGGUCGAAGAUACCAGGCCGCUGCGACUGUUUAUUAAAAACACAGCACUCUGCAAACACGAAAGUGGACGUAUAGGGUGUGACGCCUGCCCGGUGCCGGAAGGUUAAUUGAUGGGGUUAGCGCAAGCGAAGCUCUUGAUCGAAGCCCCGGUAAACGGCGGCCGUAACUAUAACGGUCCUAAGGUAGCGAAAUUCCUUGUCGGGUAAGUUCCGACCUGCACGAAUGGCGUAACGAUGGCGGCGCUGUCUCCACCCGAGACUCAGUGAAAUUGAAAUCGCUGUGAAGAUGCAGUGUAUCCGCGGCUAGACGGAAAGACCCCGUGAACCUUUACUGUAGCUUUGCACUGGACUUUGAGCCUGCUUGUGUAGGAUAGGUGGGAGGCUUUGAAGCGUGGACGCCAGUUCGCGUGGAGCCAUCCUUGAAAUACCACCCUGGCAUGCUUGAGGUUCUAACUCUGGUCCGUGAUCCGGAUCGAGGACAGUGUAUGGUGGGCAGUUUGACUGGGGCGGUCUCCUCCUAAAGAGUAACGGAGGAGUACGAAGGUGCGCUCAGACCGGUCGGAAAUCGGUCGUAGAGUAUAAAGGCAAAAGCGCGCUUGACUGCGAGACAGACACGUCGAGCAGGUACGAAAGUAGGUCUUAGUGAUCCGGUGGUUCUGUAUGGAAGGGCCAUCGCUCAACGGAUAAAAGGUACUCCGGGGAUAACAGGCUGAUACCGCCCAAGAGUUCAUAUCGACGGCGGUGUUUGGCACCUCGAUGUCGGCUCAUCACAUCCUGGGGCUGAAGCCGGUCCCAAGGGUAUGGCUGUUCGCCAUUUAAAGUGGUACGCGAGCUGGGUUUAGAACGUCGUGAGACAGUUCGGUCCCUAUCUGCCGUG
This 1324-nucleotide ribosomal RNA is filed under the name Pseudomonas aeruginosa. Its description in RNAcentral is "partial 23S ribosomal RNA". It matches the Rfam family "Bacterial large subunit ribosomal RNA", at positions 1340 to 2649 of the family's 2925-position model. The record is from RNAcentral. Lineage: Bacteria; Pseudomonadati; Pseudomonadota; Gammaproteobacteria; Pseudomonadales; Pseudomonadaceae.